GACGAACCGUGCGAACGUUGUUCGGAAUCACUGGGCUUAAAGGGGGCGUAGGCGGGCCGGCAAGUCAGGGGUGAAAUCUUCCAGCUCAACUGGAAAAGGGCCUUUGAUACUGUCGGCCUCGAGGGAGGUAGGGGCAUGCGGAACUUCCGGUGGAGCGGUGAAAUGCGUAGAUAUCGGAAGGAACGCCGGUGGCGAAAGCGGCGUGCUGGACCUCUUCUGACGCUGAGGCGCGAAAGCUAGGGGAGCAAACGGG
RNAcentral lists this ribosomal RNA (253 nucleotides) under uncultured bacterium. Its description in RNAcentral is "partial 16S ribosomal RNA". It matches the Rfam family "Bacterial small subunit ribosomal RNA", at positions 524 to 776 of the family's 1533-position model. The record is from RNAcentral.